Non-coding RNA from Potamilus streckersoni, 74 nucleotides. The record is from the annotation of a GenBank genome assembly. NCBI's taxonomy places the organism in Eukaryota, Metazoa, Mollusca, Bivalvia, Unionida, Unionidae.
UGCUCUAGUGGCCUAGUGGUAAGAGCGUCCACCUCUGAUGUGGGAUAUCAUGGGUUCGAUCCCUGGUUGAGUCA